Molecule: long non-coding RNA, 121 nt
Organism: Aricia agestis (brown argus)
Lineage: Eukaryota; Metazoa; Arthropoda; Insecta; Lepidoptera; Lycaenidae
Exons: 3
Source: RefSeq, a predicted model, not a curated record
UUGUACUGUUCUAAUUCGUCCGGUUAACGAAUGACUCAAAAGAGGGUAUAGAGUGCGUGAGCGGGAACCUAAGCGAUUUCUGCAGGAACUUAUUCAGGGUGAUUAGGGACAAAACAUACUA